CGUAGGAGGCAAGCGUUAUCCGGAGUUACUGGGCGUAAAGCGAAUGUAGGCGGUUGGGCAAGUGGCGUGUGAAAGCCCCCGGCUAAACUGGGAGACGACAGGUCAGACUGCUCGACUCGAGUCCGAUAGAGGAGCGUAGAAUUCCGGGUGUAGCGGUGAAAUGUGUGGAGAUCCGGAGGAAUACCAGUGGCGCAAGCGGCGCUCUGGGUCGGGACUGACGCUGAGAUACGAAAGCGUGGGGAGCGAACGGGAUUAGAGGCCCCGGUAGUCCACGCUGUAAACGAUGCGAACUGGGUGUUCACCUACCGACAGGUAGGGGAGUGCCGAAGCUAACGCGCUAAGUUCGCCGCCUGGGGAGUACGGUCGCAAGACUA
Molecule: ribosomal RNA, 374 nt
Filed under: uncultured organism
Description: bacterial SSU rRNA
Rfam family: Bacterial small subunit ribosomal RNA
Source: RNAcentral